CCUUCAUCAGGAGGGCUUUUAGGGAUGCGAGUUGAUGUUUUGUUGGUUGUUGACGAGAGGAAUGGUAAUGAAGGUGGUGUUGUUCAAAAUGAUUUGGGACAUGGCAUAAGUGGAGUGGUGGAGAAGUAGUGAAUAGUCAACAUAAUAGGAAAUGAUAAAACAAUGAAAAGAUUUAUGAAAAGCAAGAGAAUAAAGAAAAAAGAGGGGAAAAGUAAUAACAAUCAUAAUAAUGUAACAACUUUAAUCUAACAAACUUACUGAAUGAUUUGCUCGGCGGUAAUCCACAUCUGCCAGCCAUAUUUUUGUUUUAAAUUUGACUAGGUAGCCCUUCUUAUGUGUGUUUGCUUUUUGCUUAUGCAAGAAUGAGUGUUGG
Non-coding RNA from Paramuricea clavata, 373 nucleotides. NCBI's taxonomy places the organism in Eukaryota, Metazoa, Cnidaria, Anthozoa, Malacalcyonacea, Plexauridae. The record is from the annotation of a GenBank genome assembly.